AUUGAACGCUGGCGGCAUGCCUUACACAUGCAAGUCGAACGGCAGCACGGGGGCAACCCUGGUGGCGAGUGGCGAACGGGUGAGUAAUACAUCGGAACGUGCCCAGUAGUGGGGGAUAGCCCGGCGAAAGCCGGAUUAAUACCGCAUACGACCUACGGGUGAAAGCGGGGGAUCGCAAGACCUCGCGCUAUCGGAGCGGCCGAUGUCAGAUUAGGUUGUUGGUGGGGUAAAAGCCCACCAAGCCGACGAUCUGUAGCUGGUCUGAGAGGACGACCAGCCACACUGGGACUGAGACACGGCCCAGACUCCUACGGGAGGCAGCAGUGGGGAAUUUUGGACAAUGGGCGCAAGCCUGAUCCAGCCAUGCCGCGUGCGGGAA
Molecule: ribosomal RNA, 379 nt
Filed under: uncultured bacterium
Lineage: Bacteria
Description: bacterial SSU rRNA
Rfam family: Bacterial small subunit ribosomal RNA
Source: RNAcentral